AUACUUAUCUGGCAGAGGAGAUACCAUGAUCAUGAAGAUGGUUUGCCCAGGGUGAGGCUUAUCCUUGGCACUCCAGAUGUGCUAACCUCUGAGAUUUCCCCAAAUGUGGGAGACUCAACUGCAUAGCAUAAUUUGUGGUAGUGGGAAACUGUGUUCACACUGAA
This is a small nuclear RNA of Nannospalax galili (Upper Galilee mountains blind mole rat), 164 nucleotides long. Its record names the gene U1. It matches the Rfam family "U1 spliceosomal RNA". From Rfam's summary of the family: U1 is a small nuclear RNA (snRNA) component of the spliceosome (involved in pre-mRNA splicing). Its 5' end forms complementary base pairs with the 5' splice junction, thus defining the 5' donor site of an intron. The record is from Ensembl. NCBI's taxonomy places the organism in Eukaryota, Metazoa, Chordata, Mammalia, Rodentia, Spalacidae.